UGGGGAAUUUUGGACAAUAGGCGCAAGCCUGAUCCAGCCAUGCCGCGUGCGGGAAGAAGGCCUUCGGGUUGUAAACCGCUUUGUCAGGGAAGAAAUCUUCUGAGUUAAUACCUCGGGAGGAUGACGGUACCUGAAGAAUAAGCACCGGCUAACUACGUGCCAGCAGCCGCGGUAAUACGUAGGGUGCAAGCGUUAAUCGGAAUUACUGGGCGUAAAGCGUGCGCAGGCGGUUUUGUAAGACAGAGGUGAAAUCCCCGGGCUCAACCUGGGAACUGCCUUUGUGACUGCAAGGCUUGAGUGCGGCAGAGGGGGAUGGAAUUCCGCGUGUAGCAGUGAAAUGCGUAGAUAUGCGGAGGAACACCGAUGGCGAAGGCAAUCCCCUGGGCCUGCACUGACGCUCAUGCACGAAAGCGUGGGGAGCAAACCAGGAUUAGAUACCCUGGUAGUCACGCCCUAAACGAUGUC
This 465-nucleotide ribosomal RNA is filed under the name uncultured bacterium. RNAcentral describes it as "partial 16S ribosomal RNA". It matches the Rfam family "Bacterial small subunit ribosomal RNA", at positions 355 to 813 of the family's 1533-position model. The record is from RNAcentral.